UGGGGAAUCUUGCACAAUGGGCGAAAGCCUGAUGCAGCAACGCCGCGUGCGGGAAGAAGGCCCUAGGGUUGUAAACCGCUUUCAGUAGGGAAGAAAAUGACGGUACCUACAGAAGAAGGUGCGGCCAACUACGUGCCAGCAGCCGCGGUGACACGUAGGCACCAAGCGUUAUCCGGAUUUAUUGGGCGUAAAGAGCUCGUAGGCGGUUCGGUAAGUCGGGUGUGAAAACUCUGGGCUCAACCCAGAGAGGCCACCCGAUACUGCUGUGACUAGAGUGCGGUAGGGGAGCGGGGAAUUCCUGGUGUAGCGGUGAAAUGCGCAGAUAUCAGGAGGAACACCAGCGGCGAAGGCGCCGCUCUGGGCCGUAACUGACGCUGAGGAGCGAAAGCAUGGGUAGCAAACAGG
This 405-nucleotide ribosomal RNA is filed under the name uncultured bacterium. Its description in RNAcentral is "bacterial SSU rRNA". It matches the Rfam family "Bacterial small subunit ribosomal RNA", at positions 355 to 776 of the family's 1533-position model. The record is from RNAcentral. RNAcentral also lists the same sequence under 4 other names.